GAGUAACGCGUGGGCAACCUGCCUUAUACCGGGGGACAACAGCUGGAAACGGCUGCUAAUACCGCAUAAGCGCACAGUAUCGCAUGAUACAGCGUGAAAAACUCCGGUGGUAUAAGAUGGACCCGCGUCUGAUUAGCUAGUUGGCGGUGCAACGGACCACCAAGGCGACGAUCAGUAGCCGGCCUGAGAGGGCAAACGGCCACAUUGGGACUGAGACACGGCCCAAACUCCUACGGGAGGCAGCAGUGGGGAAUAUUGCACAAUGGAGGAAACUCUGAUGCAGCGACGCCGCGUGAGUGAAGAAGUAUUUCGGUAUGUAAAGCUCUAUCAGCAGGAAAGAAAAUGACGGUACCUGACUAAGAAGCCCCGGCUAACUACGUGCCAGCAGCCGCGGUAAUACGUAGGGGGCAAGCGUUAUCCGGAUUUACUGGGUGUAAAGGGAGCGUAGACGGUCAUGCAAGUCUGAAGUGAAAGCUCGGGGCUCAACCCCGGAACUGCUUUGGAAACUGUUUGACUGGAGUGCAGGAGAGGUAAGCGGAAUUCCUAGUGUAGCGGUGAAAUGCGUAGAUAUUAGGAGGAACACCAGAGGCGAAGGCGGCCUACUGGACUGUAACUGACGUUGAGGCUCGAAGGCGUGGGGAGCAAACAGG
RNAcentral lists this ribosomal RNA (650 nucleotides) under uncultured rumen bacterium. Its description in RNAcentral is "bacterial SSU rRNA". It matches the Rfam family "Bacterial small subunit ribosomal RNA", at positions 108 to 776 of the family's 1533-position model. The record is from RNAcentral.